Molecule: ribosomal RNA, 468 nt
Filed under: uncultured bacterium
Lineage: Bacteria
Description: partial 16S ribosomal RNA
Rfam family: Bacterial small subunit ribosomal RNA
Source: RNAcentral
GACGAACGCUGGCGGCGUGCUUAACACAUGCAAGUCGAACGGAAAGGCCCUGCUUUUGUGGGGUGCUCGAGUGGCGAACGGGUGAGUAACACGUGAGUAACCUGCCCUUGACUUUGGGAUAACUCAGGGAAACGGGGGCAAUAACCGGAUAGGAGCUCUUGCGCCAGGUUGGGGGUUGGAAAGUUUCGGCGGUUGGGGAUGGACUCGCGGCUUAUCAGCUUUUUGGGGGGGUAGUGGCUUACCAAGGCUUUGACGGGUAGCCGGCCUGAGAGGGUGACCGGCCACAUUGGGACUGAGAUACGGCCCAGACUCCUACGGGAGGCAGCAGUGGGGAAUAUUGCACAAUGGGCGGAAGCCUGAUGCAGCAACGCCGCGUGCGGGAUGACGGCCUUCGGGUUGUAAACCGCUUUCGCCUGUGACGAAGCGUGAGUGACGGUAAUGGGUAAAGAAGCACCGGCUAACUACGUG